GCUCAGGAUGAACGCUAGCUACAGGCUUAACACAUGCAAGUCGAGGGGUAGCAGGGUAGCAAUACCGCUGACGACCGGCGCACGGGUGAGUAACACGUAUCCAACCUUCCUAUUACUCGGGGAUAGCCUUUCGAAAGAAAGAUUAAUACCCGAUAGUACUUAAUUAUGGCAUCAUGAUUAAGUUAAAGAUUUAUUGGUAAUGGAUGGGGAUGCGUUCCAUUAGAUUGUUGGUGAGGUAACGGCUCACCAAGUCUUCGAUGGAUAGGGGUUCUGAGAGGAAGGUCCCCCACAUUGGUACUGAGACACGGACCAAACUCCUACGGGAGGCAGCAGUGAGGAAUAUUGGUCAAUGGGCGAGAGCCUGAACCAGCC
This 372-nucleotide ribosomal RNA is filed under the name uncultured Bacteroidales bacterium. Its description in RNAcentral is "bacterial SSU rRNA". It matches the Rfam family "Bacterial small subunit ribosomal RNA", at positions 22 to 393 of the family's 1533-position model. Lineage: Bacteria; Pseudomonadati; Bacteroidota; Bacteroidia; Bacteroidales. The record is from RNAcentral.